This 210-nucleotide ribosomal RNA is filed under the name Triticum aestivum (bread wheat). RNAcentral's name for it is "partial small subunit ribosomal RNA". Lineage: Eukaryota; Viridiplantae; Streptophyta; Magnoliopsida; Poales; Poaceae. The record is from RNAcentral.
AUGGAGAAGGAAGUACGAGGUUUAGGACUAAGAUCACAACUGUGGAGAAAGAGUUGGCAGCCUUGUAUGAAAAAUGUGUUGCUCAAAAUAAGCGAGCUGGAAAUGGAGAAAGCUCAUCUUCCUCUACAAACAUUCCUAGUAUCCCGGUUCAAGCUGGGUAUGAGUCCUUCUUAUCGUCCCGUUCAACAAGAAUAUCAAAGAGUGAGUUGA